This is a long non-coding RNA of Gadus macrocephalus (Pacific cod), 1570 nucleotides long. RefSeq lists it as uncharacterized. Lineage: Eukaryota; Metazoa; Chordata; Actinopteri; Gadiformes; Gadidae. The record is from RefSeq and is a predicted model, not a curated record. The transcript is spliced from 2 exons.
CCCUCUGGUCGAAACCAGUGCAGGGGGAAGUUGAGGCUUGUUCUUCCUCACUGUCCCCACCAGGGUGAGCUUUAUUUUCAGCAGCUCCUGACCAAGCCCAUGUGAUGUUAUGCCCCUGAGACCGGCUAUCAUGUCCAACACAACACGCAUGCCUUGUUUUUUUUCUGGCCUUCCAGUAACAGGUUUCCCUGUUUAAACCUGCAUAUUCCUGGCGUAGCUGCUCCUAGCAUCACAUGCUGCCCAGAUCUUGAUCCCAUACUUGCCUGGUUUGCUUGGGAUGUACUGUUUGAAUGGACAGCGACCUCUGAAAGGGACAAGGCGCUCGUCCACUGUCACCUCAGGGCCUGGAUGUACAUCAGUGGUAGGUGCUCCCCCCACCUGUCCCAAACGUUCCUGAUGCCAACCAGUUGGUCGUCUCGCCAGCGGAAAGGUCGUGUAGCUCUGUCAUCCAAUCUGAUAACUCUUGAGAGGACAUGGAACUGCUGCAGGGACAUAGUUGACCGGAAUAUAGGCCUCCCUGACUCUGCAUCCAACAGACUUUUUGUAGCCUCAUUGUUGGGCCGAUGUACUCCUGGUAGAAUCAACAGAGCCAUGUAGGCUUGGAGGUCUACCUGGUCCAAUGCCUUCCAUGUGUCCGCAAACACACGCCCCCCCCUUCCAGGUUUGUCAUCGCCAGUAUAAUUUCCACAAUGGACUCUGGUAAAAAGAGUUGGAAGCUGGACUUGAUGUCAGCCACACGAGAUGUUGCAUACCGUGUUGGCCCUGGUGUCAUCCUAAUGAUAUUUUCCCCUCUUGCUCUGCCUCCUCUGUCCUGGGGGGAUGAAUACCAGAGCAAGUUGCCAUCCUUGGACUGGAAUUCAACCUCAGGUGCCCCCUCCCCAGUUGCCCCCUCCCCAGGGGCCCCCUCCCCAGGGGCCUCUUCCUCAGGGGCCUCUUCCUCAGGGGCCAUCUGUUGACUGUUCGGCUUCAUGAUGAUCUGGAUCAAAAUCAGGAUCGUUGUCUUCUAUCUCUGAGACUUGCUCCUCUAUUUCUGGUUCAACUCCAAUCCCCUCUACAUCAGUUUGAAAAAAAGGCCAUCCUUGGACUGGAAUUCAACCUCAGGUGCCCCCUCCCCAGGUGCCUCUUCCCCAGGGGCCUCUUCCCCAGGGGCCUCUUCCCCAGGGGCCUCUUCCCCAGGGGCCUCUUCCUCAGGGGCCAUCUGUUGACUGUUCGGCUUCAUGAUGAUCUGGAUCAAAAUCAGGAUCGUUGUCUUCUAUCUCUGAGAAUCCUCAGUUUGGUUCCUUAAUUUUGUUCCUACCACCGCCUGGAUUUGAGCACAAUGUCCAUGCAACAGAUAUGCCCGAUGAGAGAUGGCAGGAACAGCAAUGAUGGUGAAAGCAGUUGAAUCAGUCCAGUUGAAAUAGUCGUCCCUCAAAAAAAAACAGCCAGGAUAUCCCUCCAUUAACUCGGAAAGCACCUGUCCGGAGCUCUCCCCAGAAGACUACUUUUUUUUUUAUUAGGUAUCUUAUCUUUAUCAUUUCGGUAUCUUAUCUAUAUCAUUUUCUUCAUCAAUAAACUACUAUCGCAGUUG